GGAUUUUCGGUUGUUUGGGAUGAAGGUCGAAGCGAUUAGCUUCAUUGUUAUUUAAGAAACCACCAGGAUUUGCCCGUCUCUCUUUCACAAAAUACCGAAUGUCACAGAAGACUACAUAUUAAAAGCACAAGACCACUAAUUUUGAGCGAAGUUUAUCGAACCGGAAAGGAUAAAAGGCAAAGUUGACUACGACUGAAUUUGAGCUUAGAACAAAGAGACUGAAGAAAUGCAGCAAAAAGCAUUUUGUCAGAACGAUUCUGCCGAUUCCCCGCCUUCAACUGAUAGCUAAUUAACCGCAAGAACUUGUUUUAAAAAUGUAUGGAACCAUUAUUAUUGGAAAGAUGGACACUAAAAUAUUUAGAUGAAUCUAAUUAAUUUGCAACGGUAAUUAUUCAUACGGAGUUGAAAUAGUUAUUUGACAUUACAGAUGAAUGCUAAACAAAAAGCUGUAGAUUAGGAAACACUGUACGUCAUUCUUGAUGCUCGGUGAAACAGUAACUGUUUGGAAGGAUACAAUGGUAAUCCUUUGUUAGCUCUGGAUGUGUACAUUGUCUAUAACAUUGAGAAAAAUGUUGAACUUCGUAAUAAUAAUAGUAAAUAAAUGAGUCAAUUAAUAUGUGAAUUCUC
Molecule: long non-coding RNA, 627 nt
Organism: Octopus bimaculoides (California two-spot octopus)
Lineage: Eukaryota; Metazoa; Mollusca; Cephalopoda; Octopoda; Octopodidae
Source: RefSeq, a predicted model, not a curated record